AGAAGACGCCGUCGGGAACUCGCCGGAUCUAUCGCUGUUGCAGUCACUGAAAGCUGAGGAAGAUUCAGUAAUAUCGAGACCGCUGAAUGUUCGUCCCAGGUAGGUGAAAUUUGGUUGAUGAACCUCCGUUUCCAUUGCUGGAGUUGGUCUCUUCACUUCAUCAAUCAGAGACGAGUUGCUGGAUUAAUUCAUCUGAGUUCUCCGACGCGCAUGCUAUUAAUAGUCGCCGGCUUUGAGAAGACGCCGUCGGGAACUCGCCGGAUCUAUCGCUGUUGCAGUCACUGAAAGCUGAGGAAGAUUCAGUAAUAUCGAGACCGCUGAAUGUUCGUCCCAGGUAGGUGAAAUUUGGUUGAUGAACCUCCGUUUCCAUUGCUGGAGUUGGUCUCUUCACUUCAUCAACUAUUCGGCGCCGGAAAUAAUAAUUCAGUAUUUCCGGUGAGUUCACCGGAAUACAAGUUUUGAGCUAAUAACACAAACGACAGCGUUUAGCUGGAGUUGUUUUGGGCCGAGACGAUUUGGGCUUUGAGCAAACAUGAAUGAAAGGAAAAUGGAACAUAUAAGGGAAUUGGCCGAGGGAGAAAGAGAGAGAACACCUGGAUUAAGGCCUUGGAGAAAGGGAAGGACACGUGCGUGAUCCGUACAGAAUCCAAGUAGGGACAGCACGUGCGAAGGGUCCCAUUUAACGCGUGCGAGGAAGGCUCGUUAUUUCUGUAAUGUCAAGUCUUCCAUUAUGUGAUGACCAACUCGCC
RNAcentral lists this long non-coding RNA (749 nucleotides) under Nicotiana benthamiana. RNAcentral describes it as "long non-coding RNA (NBEN_LNC032758)". The record is from RNAcentral. Lineage: Eukaryota; Viridiplantae; Streptophyta; Magnoliopsida; Solanales; Solanaceae.